This 252-nucleotide ribosomal RNA is filed under the name uncultured bacterium. RNAcentral's name for it is "partial 16S ribosomal RNA". It matches the Rfam family "Bacterial small subunit ribosomal RNA", at positions 525 to 776 of the family's 1533-position model. The record is from RNAcentral.
ACGGAGGAUCCAAGCGUUAUCCGGAAUCAUUGGGUUUAAAGGGUCCGUAGGCGGUCUUAUAAGUCAGUGGUGAAAUCUCCUAGCUCAACUAGGAAACUGCCAUUGAUACUGUAAGACUUGAAUUUUUGUGAAGUAACUAGAAUAUGUAGUGUAGCGGUGAAAUGCUUAGAUAUUACAUGGAAUACCAAUUGCGAAGGCAGGUUACUAACAAACGAUUGACGCUGAUGGACGAAAGCGUGGGGAGCGAACAGG